ACGAAGGGGGCAAGCGUUGUUCGGAAUUACUGGGCGUAAAGGGCGCGUAGGCGGCUUGCCAAGUCAGGCGUGAAAUUCCCGGGCUCAACCUGGGGGCUGCGUUUGAUACUGUGGGGCUAGAGAGCGGGAGAGGAUGGUGGAAUUCCCAGUGUAGAGGUGAAAUUCGUAGAUAUUGGGAAGAACACCGGUGGCGAAGGCGGCCAUCUGGACCGUAUCUGACGCUGAGGCGCGAAAGCGUGGGGAGCAAACAGGA
Molecule: ribosomal RNA, 253 nt
Filed under: uncultured prokaryote
Description: partial 16S ribosomal RNA
Rfam family: Bacterial small subunit ribosomal RNA
Source: RNAcentral